AUGGACGAAAGUCUGACGGAGCAACGCCGCGUGAGCGAUGAAGGUCUUCGGAUCGUAAAGCUCUGUUGUUAGGGAAGAACAAGUACAAGAGUAACUGCUUGUACCUUGACGGUACCUAACCAGAAAGCCACGGCUAACUACGUGCCAGCAGCCGCGGUAAUACGUAGGUGGCAAGCGUUGUCCGGAAUUAUUGGGCGUAAAGCGCGCGCAGGCGGUCCUUUAAGUCUGAUGUGAAAGCCCACGGCUUAACCGUGGAGGGUCAUUGGAAACUGGGGGACUUGAGUACAGAAGAGGAGAGUGGAAUUCCACGUGUAGCGGUGAAAUGCGUAGAGAUGUGGAGGAACACCAGUGGCGAAGGCGACUCUCUGGUCUGUAACUGACGCUGAGGCGCGAAAGCAUGGGUAGCGAACAGGAUUAGAUACCCUGGUAGUCCAUGCCGUAAACGAUGAGUGCUAGGUGUUAGGGGGUUUCCGCCCCUUAGUGCUGAAGUUAACGCAUUAAGCACUCCGCCUGGGGAGUACGGCCGCAAGGCUGAAACUCAAAAGAAUUGACGGGGGCCCGCACAAGCGGUGGAGCAUGUGGUUUAAUUCGAAGCAAC
This 598-nucleotide ribosomal RNA is filed under the name Paucisalibacillus sp. CP7B11. Its description in RNAcentral is "bacterial SSU rRNA". It matches the Rfam family "Bacterial small subunit ribosomal RNA", at positions 371 to 960 of the family's 1533-position model. The record is from RNAcentral. Lineage: Bacteria; Bacillati; Bacillota; Bacilli; Caryophanales; Bacillaceae.